GCCCUCACUGGCCUCCAAGUUUUCUAGGAUGAUGCAAUGUCCAGCCAUCAACACAUUUGUGAAGGAAUUUUUACUCCCCAAAAGAGCGCCCCCCCAUGGCAGGAGAAAAAAGUCCAUUUUUUCUUGUCCCCUAAGGUGAAAAUACAUAUUGUUGAGAUUCACGCCUAUACGCUUUGUCAUAUUGACACAAAAUUUGACAAUCACGUGCCUUGCCUGGUAUCAUUUUUUUUCAGCACAACCUCACCUGUGCGAAUUUACAGUUAUUUUAUCAUGUUGACAUACUGAAUUUACACAAUGGACCCAAAUUCACACACAAAACAUAAAAUCCGAGUGGAAAAAAGUAACAUUUUUACUGUGAAAACCACAAAUAUGUGUGAUGAACUGUUUUUAAAACUUAAACUUCAAAUAAAAAUUGUAAACUUCAAAACAUAUGCAAAUUUUUAACAAAGAACAUAGUGAUUUACCUCUAUUUACAUCAAAAUGCAGGCAAUGGCCCAGGCGUUCUUUGUAAAAUUAUUUACAAAACACUGUAUAGUCUCACAAAUGUCACUUUUUAUUUAUGCCACUACAAAAAAACAUGAUGUAAAUGAUGCAUGAUGUAAAACAUGAUGUAAAAAACUUGUGUAGAUCCUCCUCUAUGUCAGUCCAUGUGUAAUUUUUCCAUAAUUCUUUGAUUUUUGCAGCAUUUUUGUUAGUGUAACUGCAGAUUGUGCUGACAGUGUCUAUGGCACAAAAAAAAAAAAAUUAAAAUGCCUCAACAUGAACCCCUGGUGGUCUCUGAGGGUGAAACCUGCUAACUGCUGCAGCUCUGUCAGCUUCAGUCUCCCAUGCAGAGCUCUGAGCGCAUGUGUGGCUCUGCACCCUUAGCAGCGUUGCUAACUCCUCAGUAAGGAAAGCCUGCUUCAUGUCAGAGUCUCUAAACUCCAGAAGAAGUCGAUAAAAGUCCCUUUCUUUCUAAAAAAAAGUCGUUAGGGGGUCUGAAAAGUCAUUGAAUCUAACAACAAAGUCGCUAGGUUUGCAACUACGUGUCCCAGACUGCAUCCCUGCUGAGAGUCCCUCCCUCCCUUCUCAUGUUGCAGGAAGAACGUAAGCGCCCGCCCCUUGUCAAUCAGUCACCAUAUAAUUUUGGAUUGGUUGUUGUGGUGAAGUUUUCCACCAAUAGGAGAGAUGUUGUGGUGUGUUUUUUUUUUUCUUUUGGCAAGCCUUUUCCGCCUGUAAGACCUGUCGCUAAUGUCUGCAUGCUAUGUUUUCCUGUCUCAUACAGCGCGAUCGAGCGCCGAACGUGAUCAAAAUAAGCAGAAAAAAAGUAUCGCGGACAUAAUUUAUCAUAACUCUGGUUUUAUUUGGCCUAUCAACACAAUUUAAAAACUGGUAUAUAGGUUGAGGUCCUCACUUUUGAGAUAAGUUGAAACGGAGAGUCAACGAGGCUCCGUCUUGCAGCUACAUCCGGUUAAAUAUGUCAUGUGACUUGAACGCACACACAGACACACACACACGCACACACACACACACACACACACACACACACACACUCAGAGUCUGGUUUUUAGCACCUGCAAAAACAUGCUAUUUACAUAUUUGACAAGAAUGCAGAGGCUCCUUUUGCCCCUGAAAAAAAUCAAAUUUCAAACACAACUUGACUGGUCAUUUCUCCAAAAGACAACCAUGAAGCUCCAUCCAAACCUGAAGCAGGCAGUUGGUGCAUGUGUACAGUAACCUGAGGGGAGUGAGGUGAGUGCUUCUGAGGAGAACAUGAGCAGUGAAGAUUCACCUUGGAGCUAGAACAGAGACAUGCACAUGAUUAUACAGGGGCAGGGGCUCAAGUUUUUUCCAGUCGUUUAUACAAUAUGGAAAUUAAUGUGAAAUUAAAACACAAAGUAUUAAUAGAAAGGUAAUGACUGUCCUGUGUAGGUGACAGUGAUAUCGAAUAGGCUAGGCACUCACGAGGCUGGCUGUGGCAAGUGUAAGUGAAAGCAACACACACUGGCAGGAAGAACAGCAAACGCCGAUAAAGGAAAAGGGUCUUUGCAGUGAUGGGCGUUACCAGAGAGGGCGAUGGCCAGAGGACACAAAUGGGACGGGGAGGCAGCACGUUGGGGGGGGGGGGGGGGGGGCGACACAGCUCGGGCCCGCCAGUGCCCCAACGGGGUCCUAGUUCUUUCUUUCUUUUCCUCCCCUUUGAACUGGAAAAUGGCCCACUUCCCACUGGCGAAAACUCAUGAAAUUUGGCAGGACGACCGGGCCUGGUGAAAAAUUCGAUAUUCUGAAGUCGCCCAAACAAUAAAAUGCAAAAUGGCUCCAUAGCGCCCCCUAAGGUGGAAAUUCACACUAUUGACUGUCACGCCUGUACGCUUUGUCAUAUUGACACAAAAAUUGACACACAUAUGUAUCUCAAUAAGAUCUACAAAAAAGUCAGUGCGGGCGUAUCUGUCAAAUGUACGGUUAAAGGGUUAUUUCGCAUUUUUUGCCGAUCCGCACACAUUGGAAUUUCGCUAACUCCUCCGAAGGCUUUCGUUCCACCGGCACCACAUUUGCUCAGGCCAAUCUACACCCCAUGGCCAUUAAAAGUUAUUCAAAUCAUGAUGCUGCACCCCACGGUUUAGGUUCUAGGGGGCGCCAAAGAUAACCCUAUAAUCCACAUAUUUAAAAGUCUUAUAACUUUUUAUUUUUGCCCUCACUGGCCUACAAGUUUUCUAGGAUGAUGCAAUGUCCAGCCAUCAACACAUUUGUGAAGGAAUUUUUACUCCCCAAAAGAGCGCCCCCCCAUGGCAGGAGAAAAAAGUCCAUUUUUUCUUGUCCCCUAAGGUGAAAAUACACAUUGUUGAGUGUCACGCCUGUACUCUUUGUCAAAAUACCACAAAAAUUGAAACACACAUGUAUCUCAAUAAGAUCUACAAAAAAGUCCACGCGCGCGUAUCUGUCAAAUGUACGGUUAAAGGGUUAUUCCGCAUUUUUUGCCAAUUCGCACACAUUGGAAUUUCGCUAACUCCUCCGAAGGCUUUCGUUCCACCGGCACCACAUUUGUUCAGGGCCAAAUUACACCCCAUGGCCAUUAAAAGUUUUUUAAAUCAUGACGCUGCACCCCACGGUUUACGUUCUAGGGGGCGCCAAAGAUAACCCAAAAAUCCACAUUUUUAAAAGUCUUAUAACUUUUUAUUUUUGUCCUCACUGGCCUCCAAGUUUUCUAGGAUGAUGCAAUGUCCAGCCAUCAACACAUUUGUGAAGGAAUUUUUACUCCCCAAAAGAGCGCCCCCCCAUGGCAGGAGAAAAAAGUCCAUUUUUUCUUGUCCCCUAAGGUGAAAAUACACAUUGUUGAGUGUCACGCCUGUACUCUUUGUCAAAAUACCACAAAAAUUGAAACACACAUGUAUCUCAAUAAGAUCUACAAAAAAGUCCACGCGCGCGUAUCUGUCAAAUGUACGGUUAAAGGGUUAUUCCGCAUUUUUUGCCAAUUCGCACACAUUGGAAUUUCGCUAACUCCUCCGAAGGCUUUCGUUCCACCGGCACCACAUUUGUUCAGGGCCAAAUUACACCCCAUGGCCAUUAAAAGUUUUUUAAAUCAUGACGCUGCACCCCACGGUUUACGUUCUAGGGGGCGCCAAAGAUAACCCAAAAAUCCACAUUUUUAAAAGUCUUAUAACUUUUUAUUUUUGUCCUCACUGGCCUCCAAGUUUUCUAGGAUGAUGCAAUGUCCAGCCAUCAACACAUUUGUGAAGGAAUUUUUACUCCCUAAAAGAGCGCCCCCCCAUGGCAGGAGAAAAAAGUCCAUUUUUUCUUGUCCCCUAAGGUGAAAAUACACAUUGUUGACUGUCACGCCUUUACGCUUUGUCAUAUUGACAAAAAAUUUGACAAUCACGUGUAUCUCAAUAAGAUCUAUGAAAAAGUCAAUGGGCACGUAAGUGUAAAAUGUACAGUUAAAGGGCUAUUUUGCAUUUUUUGGCGAUUCGCACACAUUGGAAUUUCGCUAAGUCCUCCUAAGGCUUUCGUCCCACUGACACCAAAUUUGCUCAGGCCAAUCUACACUCCAUGGCCAUUCAAAGUUGUAAAAAUCAUGACGCUGCACCCCACGGUUUACGUUUUAGGGUGCGCCAAAGAUGACCCAAAUAUACAUUACAGUAGACAAAGUAGUUUUGCCCACUGAGUGGCGCCAAAGGGACUUGUCUGUGGAGUCUGUGAGUCACUAUUGGCCGUUUUUGACUACUUUAGAUUUUACCUUUAUAUUUCCUCUUACAAAAUUUUUAACCUUGCCUUGCCUGGUAUCAUUUUUUUCAGCACAACCUCACCUGUGUCAAUUUACAGUUAUUUUAUCAUUUUGACAUACUAUAUUUACACAUUGGACCCAAAUUCACACACAAAACAUAAAAUCCGAGUGGAAAAAAGUAACGUUUUUACUGUGAAAACCACAAAUAUGUGUGAUGAACUGUUUUUAAAACUUUAACUUCAAAUAAAAAUUGUAAACUUCAAAACAUAUGCAAAUUUUUAACAAAGAACAUAGUGAUUUACCUCUAUUUACAUCAAAAUGCAGGCAAUGGCCCAGGUGUUCUUUGUAAAAUUAUUUACAAAACACUGUAUAGUCUCACAAAUCUCACUUUUUAUUUAUGCCACUACAAAAAAACAUGAUGUAAAUGAUGCAUGAUGUAAAACAUGAUGUAAAAAACUUGUGUAGAUCCUCCUCUAUGUUAGUCCAUGUGUAAUUUUUCCAUAAUUCUUUGUUUUUUGCAGCAUUUUUGUUAGUGUAACUGCAGAUUGUGCUGACAGUGUCUAUGGCAAAAAAAAAAAAAAAAAAACUGAAAAUGCCUCAACAUGAACCCCUGGUGGUCUCUGAGGGUGAAACCUGCUAACUGCUGCAGCUCUGUCAGCUUCAGUCUCCCAUGCAGAGCUCGGAGCGCAUGUGUGGCUCUGCACCCUUAGCAGCGUUGCUAACUCCUCAGUAAGGAAAGCCUGCUUCAUGUCAGAGUCUCUAAACUCCAGAACUCCAGAAGAAGUCGAUAAAAGUCCCUUUCUUUCUAAAAAAAAGUCAUUAGGGGGUCUGAAAAGUCAUUGAAUCUAACAACAAAGUCGCUAGGUUUGAAACUACGUGUCCCAGACUGCAUCCCUGCUGAGAGUCCCUCCUCCCUCCUUCUCAAGUUGCAGGAAGAACGCGAGCGCCCAUCCCGUGUCAAUCAGUCACCAUAUAAUUUUGGAUUGGUUGUUGUGGUGAAGUUUUCCACCAAUAGGAGAGAUGUUGUGGUGUGUUUUUUUCUUUUCUUUUGGCAAGUCUUUUCCGCCUGUAAGAGCUGUCGCUAAUGUCUGCAUGCUAUGUUUUCCUGUCUCAUACAGCGCGAUCGAGCGCCGAACGUGAUCAAAAUAAGCAGAAAAAAAGUAUUGCGGACAUAAUUUAUCAUAACUCUGGUUUUAUUUGGCCUAUCAACACAAUUUAAAAACUGGUAUAUAGUUUGAGGUCCUCACUUUUAAGAUAGGUUGAAACGGAGAAUCAACGAGGCUCCGUCUUGCAGCUACAUCCGGUUAAAUAUGUCAUGUGACUUGAACGCUGGGGAGCGUCAAUCGAAUCGAAUCAAACCUAACUCUCAGAUGAAUCUUCAAAAUUCACCUCAGAAAUAUGCUUAUUAUUCUUCUCAGAGUACUGCAGGAUACACACACACACGCACACACACUCAGAGUCUGUUUUUUAGCACCUGCAAACACAUGCUAUUUACAUAUUUGACAAGAAUGCAGAGGCUUUCUUUUGCCUCUGAAAAAAAUCAAAUUUCAAACACAACUUGACUGGUCAUUUCUCCAAAAGACAACCAUGAAGCUCCAUCCAAACCUGAAGCAGGCAGUUGGUGCAUGUGUACAGUAACCUGAGGGGAGUGAGGUGACUGCUUCUGAGGAGAACAUGAGCAGUGAAGAUUCACCUUGGAGCUAGAACAGGGACGUGCACAUGAUUAUACAGGGGCAGGGGCUCAAGUUUUUUCCAGUCGUUUAUACAAUAUGGAAAUUAAUGUGAAAUUAAAAAACAAAGUAUUAAUAGAAAGGUAAUGACUGUCCUGUGUAGGUGACAGUGAUAUCCAAUAGGCUAGGCACUCACGAGGCUGGCUGUGGCAAGUGUAAGUGAAAGCAACACGCACUGGCAGGAAGAACAGCAAACGCCAAUGAAGGAAAAGGGUCUUUGCAGUGAUGGGCGUUACCAGAGAGGGCGAUGGCCAGAGGACGCGAAUGGGACGGGGAGGCAGCGCGUUGGGGGGGGCGCGACACGGCUCGGGCCCGCCAGUGCCCCAACGGGGCCCUAGUUAGGGCCCGAGCGUAGCUGCUAAGCAGCUGCGAGAGCCCUCUUGUUCCUGUAGUUUCCUUCUUUUGUUAUUAUUAUUAUUUUUCCUCCCCUUUGAACUGGAAAAUGGCCCACUUCCCACUGGCGAAAACUCAUGAAAUUUGGCAGGACGACCGGGCCUGGUGAAAAAUUUGAUAUUCCGAAGUCGCCCAAACAAGAAAAUGCAAAAUGGCUCCAUAGCGCCCCCUAAGGUGAAAAUUCACACUAUUGACUGUCACGCCGGUACACUUUGUCAUAUUGACACAAAAUUUGACACACACAUGUAUCUCAAUAAGAUUUACAAAAAAGUCAGUGCGGGCGUAUCUGUAAAAUGUACGGAUAAAGGGUUAUUUCGCAUUUUUUGCCGAUCCGCACACAUUGGAAUUUCGCUAACUCCUCCGAAGGCUUUCGUUCCACCGGCACCACAUUUGCUCAAGCCAAUCUACACCCCAUGGCCAUUAAAAGUUAUUCAAAUCAUGACGCUGCACCCCACGGUUUAGGUUCUAGGGGGCGCCAAAGAUAACCCUAAAAUCCACAUAUUUAAAAGUCUUAUAACUUUUUAUUUUUGCCCUCACUGGCCUCCAGGUUUUCUAGGAUGAUGCAAUGUCCAGCCAUCAACACAUUUGUGGAGGAAUUUUUACUCCCCAAAAGAGCGCCCCCCCAUGGCAGGAGAAAAAAGUCCAUUUUUUCUUGUCCCCUAAGGUGAAAAUACACAUUGUUGAGUGUCACGCCUGUACGCUUUGUCAAAAUGACACAAAAAUUGACACACACAUGUAUCUCAAUAAGAUCUACAAAAA
This is a non-coding RNA of Xyrichtys novacula (pearly razorfish), 7083 nucleotides long. The record is from the annotation of a GenBank genome assembly. NCBI's taxonomy places the organism in Eukaryota, Metazoa, Chordata, Actinopteri, Labriformes, Labridae.